Molecule: small RNA, 578 nt
Filed under: Pan troglodytes (chimpanzee)
Lineage: Eukaryota; Metazoa; Chordata; Mammalia; Primates; Hominidae
Description: processed transcript
Source: RNAcentral
ACGUAGUGCUGAAACACAUACUACUGGAUCUAUGUGGUAGCAUACACCAGUUGAACAACUGGACCAUGACAUUUGUAUCUCGUUAGAUAUUCUGUUUUGGAUUUUAUCAACCUUCAAGCAAGGGUCUCAUUCUGGGAUUUUUUUCGAAAUUUACCUCAUUGGAUUCAGCAGCAUACUGCCAUGAACGAUGCUGGCAAUUUUCUAAUUGAAACCUGUGAUGAGAUGGUUUCCCGUGACCUGAAGCAGCAAUUACUGUUGCUAAAUGGGCGGUGGAGGGAGUUGUUUAUGGAAGUCAAGCAAUAUGCUCAAGCUGAUGAGAUGGACAGAAUGAAGAAGGAAUACACAGACUGUGUUGUUACCCUGUCUGCUUUUGCAACGGAAGCCCAUAAGAAACUUUCUGAACCCUUAGAAGUCUCUUUUAUGAAUGUCAAGCUAUUAAUUCAAGACUUGGAGGAUAUUGAGCAGAGGGUGCCUGUGAUGGAUGCCCAAUACAAGAUAAUUACAAAGACAGCACACCUCAUUACCAAAGAAAGCCCCCAAGAAGAAGGAAAAGAAAUGUUUGCGACCAUGUCAAAGCU